This 127-nucleotide ribosomal RNA is filed under the name uncultured bacterium. RNAcentral's name for it is "partial 16S ribosomal RNA". The record is from RNAcentral.
GCCGAUGCUUAUUCUUCAGGUACACGUCAUUGAUUCCUCCCUGAAAAAAAGAGGUUUACAACCCAUAGGCCGUCAUCCCUCACGCGGUAUUGCUCCGUCAGGCUUUCGCCCAUUGCGGAAAAUUCCC